This 406-nucleotide ribosomal RNA is filed under the name uncultured eukaryote. RNAcentral's name for it is "partial small subunit ribosomal RNA". It matches the Rfam family "Eukaryotic small subunit ribosomal RNA", at positions 30 to 432 of the family's 1831-position model. The record is from RNAcentral.
GCUUGUCUCAAAGAUUAAGCCAUGCAUGUCUAAGUAUAAACAACUUUAUACUGUGAAACUGCAGAUGGCUCAUUAAAUCAGUUAUAAUCUAUUUGAUGAUUACUUACUACAUGGAUAACCGUGGUAAUUCUAGAGCUAAUACAUGCGCAAAGUCCCAACUUUCGGGGAGGGAUGUAUUUAUUAGACGAAAAACCAAUGCGGGUUCUGCCCGGUUUUGUGUUGAAUCAUAGUAACUUUUCGAAUCGCAUGGCUUCACGCCGGCGAUAGUUCAUUCAAAUUUCUGCCCUAUCAGCUUUCGACGGUAGUGUAGUGGACUACCGUGGCGUUAACGGGUAACGGAGAAUUAGGGUUCGAUUCCGGAGAGGGAGCCUGAGAAACGGCUACCACAUCUAAGGAAGGCAGCAGG